Molecule: unclassified non-coding RNA, 262 nt
Filed under: soil metagenome
Description: partial internal transcribed spacer 1
Source: RNAcentral
CCAAUUUUAUAUGUUAGUUUGCCUGUGGCUUCUGUCACUGGUAUUAACUACUAUGUAAACGUUGAACUAGAUCAAUUGGUGUGGAUUGCUUGGGAAUGGACGAAGCGAUGAGCCUCUUCCGGACAGGCAAGCCCCACACUGAUAACCUUUUUCAUAUAUCAUUUACUCGUACAUACUACAAACAACAACAACAAAUCUUAUACUAAUAGGACUUAUUAACGGCUGAGUGGGUAACAUCCUCGGCUUAUACAUAUAACUAUUA